GAAAUUAAGUGAAGAAAAGAAGCUAGAGACUUAGAACCACAUAAGAAAAAUUCAAGAUCCAACUAGUUUCUCCAUUCUUGACUUUGCAAAUAACAGAUACUUCAAGGAGACAAUUGUCGGAAGCGAAUUGGAGUUAUUCGGCAAGAGUACAGUGAGUGAUAAUUCCUUCAUAGUUGAUUUUUUUUUCCUAUAGCAUGUUUUAAAUUCAUUUUCUUGCAUAGAAUUGGUUGUUUAAUGAAAGAGAUUAUUUGCACGCGGACAAGCAACAACAUGACCUUAGAUAUGAAAGCAUAUCAAUUCACUUUUACACACUGGAUGUUCUUGAACCAUGCCAUUUAUGAGUUGUUAUAUAUUCUCUUUUGAUAAGGAUGAGUUGAUACAUACUGCUGGAUUUAAAUUCUUGACACGGAAAGAAUAUAUUUGUAUUAUGCAAAAGGAACUUUCGGAAGAACCUUUGCCAGAGUCCCGUUAUCUAACGUCGGGAUCGUUAGACCUGGUGCACCUUGUAAGUGAACUCGUAUUGUACAAAAGCCCUUUAGAAGGGAACCUAGCUGACGGGGUAGUUAGACGGCUAUGGUAAAUCCAUAGUGUCAGAACGUAUAUUUUGAUAAUGGCAUAGGGACCUCCCAAUAAAUAAGCACGUGAUUACUUAACUGGUUUAAACAUAGUUUUCAUAGAUGUAUUGUGCUGUUGGUUUAAAGGAGAUAUCUUUUGAUGAUUUUACAUGUUGCAUGAUUUCUUAUACAUAUGCUUGUCCCAAAUAAAAUGCUAUGAUUGACAUUAUUACUCACUCAGUCGGUGUGACUGGCCCUACUCCCUUGUUUUAAUUUCCUACAGAUAACUUAACCGAGGGUGACAUUCUGACUCAGACAGAGCUGACAACGAAUCUAGUAAGCCCCGCACUUGUUUCGCGUGGGCCAUCAUGUUGCUGACUAUUAUAGUAUAUUAGUUUUUUUUUUUUUCAAAUCCUAGAGUUUUGCUCCUUAAGUCGGCCUUGUAUAUCUUAUUUUGGCUUGUGUUAGUAAAGUAUAGCUUGGGACUUAUAUGUUUUGCGAAAGCCCAUGGCUUGGGAUGUUGAUGCUCUAUAAAACUUAAUAUAUUGGUAUUGUAGCUUGUUGGAUUA
Long non-coding RNA from Lycium ferocissimum, 1123 nucleotides. RefSeq lists it as uncharacterized. The transcript is spliced from 2 exons. The record is from RefSeq and is a predicted model, not a curated record. NCBI's taxonomy places the organism in Eukaryota, Viridiplantae, Streptophyta, Magnoliopsida, Solanales, Solanaceae.